CAGCGCCACGGUAAUACGUAGGGUGCAAGCGUUAAUCGGAAUUACUGGGCGUAAAGCGUGCGCAGGCGGUUUGUUAAGACAGAUGUGAAAUCCCCGGGCUCAACCUGGGAACUGCAUUUGUGACUGGCAGGCUAGAGUAUGGCAGAGGGGGGUGGAAUUCCGCGUGUAGCAGUGAAAUGCGUAGAUAUGCGGAGGAACACCGAUGGCGAAGGCAGCCCCCUGGGCCAAUACUGACGCUCACGCACGAAAGCGUGGGGAGCAAACAGGAUUAGAGACCCCCGUAGUCCCUGUCUCUUAUACA
This 301-nucleotide ribosomal RNA is filed under the name uncultured bacterium. RNAcentral's name for it is "partial 16S ribosomal RNA". It matches the Rfam family "Bacterial small subunit ribosomal RNA", at positions 509 to 808 of the family's 1533-position model. The record is from RNAcentral.